RNA transcript from Camelus dromedarius (Arabian camel), 2797 nucleotides. It is a transcript of the gene named actin-related protein 3B-like, with no coding region annotated. The transcript has 10 exons. The record is from RefSeq and is a predicted model, not a curated record. Lineage: Eukaryota; Metazoa; Chordata; Mammalia; Artiodactyla; Camelidae.
GGGCUCCCGCCGGCCCGGCAGCAGCGCCGCGGCCGCGCGAGGCAUUUGGUGUCGGCUGCGGGCCGUCACGUCAGGGCCCUCUGACGUGCUGCGUGUGCACAGGUGGCUGCGCGGUGCCCGUCAGUGCGCCGCCCGUGGCGGGGUCUGUGCUCGGGGACGGGUGUGUUUGUGGCUGCAGUUGCCGCAGUUCGUCCCGGCCCUCCUGACCUCCCCAGCCCCACACUCGGCCUCGUGGUCCUGGCAUGCCCGCUGCUUCUGCCCCGGAUGCUUCCUCUGGGCUCCGCCCCCAGCACGUCCACGUCACGCCUGCUGCCUUAGUCCUGCAGAAAUCCUGCGCUUUGGAUUUGUGCCACCUUCUGUAAGUUGAAAGCUUCUGGACCAAGUGCGGCAGUGAGAUGGAGUCAGAAGAGGAGGUAUUGCCAUCAGAGAGUCAGCAAAAGUGGUUGACCAAGCCCAAAGGAGGGUGCUGAGGGGAGUUGAUGACCUGGACUUUUUCAUAGGGGAUGAAGCCAUAGAUAAACCCACGUAUGACACAAAGUGGCCAAUAAGACAUGGAAUAAUUGAAGACUGAGAUCUAAUGGAGAGGUUCAUGGAACAAGUUAUUUUUAAUUUUCCCUGAGCUGAACCUGAGGGCCAUCACUUUUUGAUGAGUUUUAGAAUUAAGACUCUCAUCCUCAGAAACCUUCCUAGCAGAUUUGCCCUGUCUGUCCGUGACCAGUGUGGGCCCUAGAGGGGAACAAAAUUACUUUGGUACAUUUUGAUGAGUCAAGAUUCUCUCCUGUUGCUGGUGAGGGGACCACAUCUCAUCACCUGGCCCCAAGAGACAGAACCUCCUCUGAAUACACCAGAAAAUAAAGAAUAUCUUGCAGAAAUUAUGUUAAAAUUAUUUAAUGUACCAGGACUCUACAUUGCAGUUCAGGACGUUGCAGAGAUGAUGUACUAAUAUGCUGGUGCUUUAAUACCUCAAAGUUCAGAAAUCACUGCAGGGGGAGGCUGAUGUGUCUACAGUCAGGAGGAAAAAGCCAAAUCUUUCCCAUCUGUCAUUGCACCCUGCCAGUGUCCCCUUUGCCCGGGGGUGAGGAGAGGCAGGAGGCCUUCAGAGCAUGCUCUGUGCUCGCAGCCCCUUCAUCCAGUCUCGGAACACUGCCCCCUCCUGGGUGUGAGGUGUUUAGGUGCCACUUGCUGUGUGGUCCUGCCUGGCUCCUCUCUGAGGUCACGUCCUCAGAGGUCAGUGCAGGGCAAGGUCAGGUCCUGUGCCUGUGGGUCUGCUUCCUGGCCUCCCCUGUGCAUCUGAAACAAGUUUCACACUACGUGCAGGCCCACAGAGAAAGUUGUUGUUCAAAUUUUUCUCUGUUUCUUAAUGCAGUUUUUUCCCCCUAUUUAUAAAAAUUACAUUUACUGUACAAAAUUUAGGUAAAAUGGAGAAAUGUAAAGAAGAAAAUAGAAUGACCCACAAACCUGCCCAGAGGACUGUGCCACACUUUUUUGGUAUAGUCUACUGAGCUCCUUUUCUUAGACAAACAACACACAUUUUAAGCACAGUUGGGAUACCCUCCAUCUGAUUUCAUAUUCUAAUUGUACAAUGUGCUCCUGAGGUUGUAUUUUGCAUAUUGACUUAUCCCUGAUGUAUCUUUAUGGUUAAAUACUCUGUGGAAAGAUAUUUAGUAACUACCUGACAGCCCAUCAUGUGGGUGUAGCACAAAUCACUUACAUGUUUUCCUACCUUUGGCUGUGGUUUGUUUUAAUAUAUUUAAUCUGUGAUGAAGCUGAUACUCAACAUGGUUUGAAUUAAUUUUAGAAAAUUUUAUAUGUAAUGUAUUGAGUAUAGAAAUUGUGAAUAGUUUCUGUUUGUGAGAGCUACUGUUCUUAUGAUUUUUUUAUUUUAAUAAUAUGUACAUAUCUUUUAUCUUGAUCUUAAAUAUUUUACAAUUGGCUUGGGCUCCUGAGAAAGGCUACACACUCUCUCACUUCUAGAAGUUGGGCACCUCAGAAGACAUAACAGGAAUUCAGUCACCUGUUCUUGCAACUUCAGUGGUAACUGUGCUUGUACAUAGUGGAACUGAUCCAUCUGUCAGAUGGAUGAGGAUUUGCUCCAGCCUUCUGUCUCCAUGAGUGUGUGACAAGCAGCCAGUGCCAUCAGGGAGCUCAGAGUGCCUCCUCUACCUGGUGCAGGUGGAAGGUUAGGUAAUUGGAAGCUGCAUCAAACACAUCCCUAUUGCAGGUAGAGAUAUGUAUUUCAUUCAACAGCUGCCAAGUGAGAGGGAGGUGGGAAUCCCUCCUGAGCAACCACUGGAGACCACAAAGGCCAUUAAGGAGAAGUACUGUCACAUUUGCCCUAAUAUAGUCAAGAAGUUUGCCAAGUAUGACGUGGAUCAGCGGAAGUGGAUCAAACAGCAAACAGGGAACAAUGCCAUCAGCCAGAAGAAAUUCAUUAUCGAUGUUGGCUAGGAAAGUUUCCCAGGCUCUGAAAUUUUCUUUCACCCAGAGAUACUGAUUAACAUGCCAAGUAUAAUGCCUGGCCCAGGAAACUCAGGAGAUGAAUCAAAUAACUUGACCAUGAAGGAGCACUGAGGAGGAGGCAGAGAUGAUCUCUGGCAUGGAAUCAACACACUUAAAGACUGGGAUUUGGAAGUGAGAAGGAGUACAUGGAAGUGAUUCAGGAAGACAAGGAAAUGAGACACAAGUGGCAACAUUUGUCAAAGUAAGAUAAAAGAAUACUUAUUACAAGAUUACUUAUUAUAUUUCUCAUGUCUGUGCAUGUCUUCAUCUUCACCUUCUGGUAACAUAUACAUCCACG